Bubalus bubalis (water buffalo) is the source of this 1869-nucleotide long non-coding RNA. RefSeq lists it as uncharacterized. The record is from RefSeq and is a predicted model, not a curated record. NCBI's taxonomy places the organism in Eukaryota, Metazoa, Chordata, Mammalia, Artiodactyla, Bovidae. The transcript is spliced from 4 exons.
CGGGAGUGGCUCUACUGAGCUUGUAGAGGAAUCUGGGACUGAAUGUACACUUCCGCUAAUGACCGAGCUUCAACGAGUUCCACCUCUCCUGGAAGGAUCUAGCCAACUGCUACCAGCGUUAGAGCCCAGGGCUGUUGCGCCGCGGCACUGACAAGGCCCGCCACGCCCCCGGAACGGCCACGCCCCCGGGCCCAACCUGAAGGAACGCGUGCGCAGGAAGGGCCCCGCCCGCGGGCACGCCCCCAUCCGCCCCGGACCCGCCCCAUCCGCCCCGGACCCGCCCCUUCCGCAGGGCGCACUCUGAAGAGCCCUCCCCCAUGGGCCCGCCCCUAGUAGCUCUGGUCCCGCCCCUCCCUUGGGGCGCACUCCGUAUAGAGUCUCUGAGCUGGACUGGACCCAUGGCUCAUCCCGUUUCGGUGCGGAUCCAGCGCAGCGCCCGCGCCCGGCGUGCCUAAAGAGCUGUCAUGCUGAGACUUUCUCCAGGAGCUGGGGCAGAGUGCUGAUAUUUUUAUAGCAGCAGAGUGUGCCAGAGGCCAGCAGCUGCUCGGGACAAGCCCUCUCUUUCCGCUGCCCUGGACACUGCUAAAAUGAAUAGUGCAGAAAAUCACUCCUGAGAUCUGGAAACUCAUCUUUUUCCAUGGAAGGCACUGCUACGCUGCUUCCCCACAGUCCUGGAGAAUGGAUGAUGUCUGUCUGAUGAUGCACUGGAACCUGGGCACUUGCUUGUCAUCCCACUCUUGCAACCCUCCCAGGAACUAUGUGGCUCCUUUGCUCAGAGAAGGACUAUAACAGAGACAGAGGCCUGACUCUUUCCUGUUGAUGUUUAGCUUUUCAAUCUUAAUGUUAGUAGCAUACAUUCUCCUGAGCAUGGAAGAGAAGAAACUUAAUGCAAGUGAUUAUACAUGUAAGGAUCAAUCCAUGUACACAUGGAGAAAAUAUUUAAUGUGCCAGACCCUGAAAUUAUGUGCUAAGCAAUGAAAUAAAUUGGCAAGCCACCACUGAAAAAUAAAAACAAAAGAGCAAGUUUUUAUGUGCAUUUUAAACUACUUAGAGAUGAUACAGUUGAAGGAAACAGCAAAUAUUUUCAUUUAUUCAUAUGUUAGUUGUAUGAACAGAAAAAAUUCUGGAGCAAUGUACACUCUUUUAACACCAAAACAGAAUGGCAUUUCUGGGGAGUUUUCACUUUUGAUGUUGUAUGUGUUUGUAGUAUUCUAACAUUAUAACAAAUAUGCUGCAAUAUUGCAAUUAUAGGAAAACCAAUAAAGUUAAAUAAUAGCAAUUUUACUGGGAAAAAAAGAUGACAUUACCAAAAAGCUGGAGCAGAUGUGGGAAGGCAAGAACUCUUACACUCCUCACCUGGGAGAAUAAAUUGGCACAACUUGGGGAAGUAAACGAUCACAUCUACCAAGUUGAAACAGCACAUCCCCUUUGACAUGGCAAUUCCCCAUCUACAAAUGUGUCCUAGGGAGUUAAUACACAUGGCACACGUGUGCACAAGAUGUGGACUGCAGCACUGUCUGUGAUGGUGAAAAAAAAUGGAAACCUACACAUAUACAUGUAGAAGGUAUACAUUGUGGCAUACUCACUGAAGAGAAAACUCUUAUCACAGUUGAAAAUGAGUAAACCCUAUCCUACAGGUAUCAGCGUGGAUAAAUGUUGAAAAUAAAGUUGAAAAAGAUAGCAAGUGGUAUUAUGAUGUGUAAGGGUUUUUUUGUUUGUUUUUUGUUUUGGCUGCGUGAGCUAUUCAUUGUGGUAUGCGGGGUCUAUCUCUAGUUGUGGCUCAUAGACUCUAGAGCAUGGGCUCAGUAGUUGCGGCCCAAAGGGUUAGUUGCUCCAAGGCAGAUGGACUCUUCCCAGACCAUGGAUCGA